GUGUUUUAAUUUAGGAAUAAACUCCUCAUGGAUUCUUAAGCCUUUGGGAUGUAGGCACUGACUAUAUAUGGAACAACAUCUAUAAAACUAAGUGUUCUGUUAGAACAUGCAGAAGUGAGAAUGAGUCAGAGAGCCAGAAGCCAACCAGAAAAAUGAGAGCCGUGAGUGUCCAGACUUCUGUGCCAACACUUCCAGAAGGGACUUGGUACUACUUGAAGGACUUCUCCAAGGACAGAAGAUUCUUUCUAUCUCAUAAAAAAGAUGGAUACUCCUGAAGGACGAAAGAUUGGUAUGUGAAGGGUAAGUACCUUCUUGUGGUGGGAUAAAUGAUGGCUGUGCAGAUCUGAGAAGACCUGUGAGAGGAAAGCAUCAGAAGAUAAUGAGGUAGGACUUAGCUG
This 398-nucleotide long non-coding RNA is filed under the name Neogale vison (American mink). RNAcentral's name for it is "Neovison vison (American mink) lncRNA (ENSNVIG00000020769.1)". The record is from RNAcentral. Lineage: Eukaryota; Metazoa; Chordata; Mammalia; Carnivora; Mustelidae.